UUAAACACAAGAGUUUGAUCCUGGCUCAGGACGAACGCUGGCGGCGUGCCUAACACAUGCAAGUCGAGCGGAGGCAUAGGAAAGAAGUU
This 89-nucleotide ribosomal RNA is filed under the name Clostridiales bacterium. RNAcentral's name for it is "partial 16S ribosomal RNA". It matches the Rfam family "Bacterial small subunit ribosomal RNA", at positions 1 to 84 of the family's 1533-position model. The record is from RNAcentral. Lineage: Bacteria; Bacillati; Bacillota; Clostridia; Eubacteriales.